AGUUCGAUUGUGUAACGGUAGCACAACAGACUCUGACUCUGUUUGUCUAGGUUCGAAUCCUAGUCGAACUA
RNAcentral lists this transfer RNA (71 nucleotides) under Taibaiella sp. RNAcentral's name for it is "tRNA-Gln". It matches the Rfam family "tRNA". From Rfam's summary of the family: Transfer RNA (tRNA) molecules are approximately 80 nucleotides in length. Their secondary structure includes four short double-helical elements and three loops (D, anti-codon, and T loops). RNAcentral also lists the same sequence under 3 other names. Lineage: Bacteria; Pseudomonadati; Bacteroidota; Chitinophagia; Chitinophagales; Chitinophagaceae. The record is from RNAcentral.